RNAcentral lists this ribosomal RNA (885 nucleotides) under uncultured bacterium. RNAcentral describes it as "bacterial SSU rRNA". It matches the Rfam family "Bacterial small subunit ribosomal RNA", at positions 8 to 916 of the family's 1533-position model. The record is from RNAcentral.
AGAGUUUGAUCCUGGCUCAGGACGAACGCUGGCGGCGUGCUUAACACAUGCAAGUCGAACGAGUGCCUUCGGGUGCUAGUGGCGAACGGGUGAGUAACACGUGGGCAACCUGCCCCUGGCUCUGGGAUAGCCUCCGGAAACGGGGAUUAAUACCGGACAUGACCUGCUGCCGCAUGGCGGCGGGUGGAAAGUUUUUCGGCCAGGGAGGGGCUCGCGGCCUAUCAGCUUGUUGGGGGGGUAACGGCCCACCAAGGCGACGACGGGUAGCCGGCCUGAGAGGGCGACCGGCCACACUGGGACUGAGACACGGCCCAGACUCCUACGGGAGGCAGCAGUGGGGAAUAUUGCACAAUGGGGGAAACCCUGAUGCAGCGACGCCGCGUGCGGGAUGAAGGCCUUCGGGUUGUAAACCGCUUUCAGCAGGGACGAAGCGCGAGUGACGGUACCUGCAGAAGAAGCGCCGGCUAACUACGUGCCAGCAGCCGCGGUAAUACGUAGGGCGCGAGCGUUGUCCGGAAUUAUUGGGCGUAAAGAGCUCGUAGGCGGCCUGUUGCGUCUGCUGUGAAAUCCCGGGGCUUAACCCCGGGCGUGCAGUGGAUACGGGCAGGCUGGAGGCAGGCAGGGGAGAACGGAAUUCCCGGUGUAGCGGUGAAAUGCGCAGAUAUCGGGAGGAACACCGGUGGCGAAGGCGGUUCUCUGGGCCUGUACUGACGCUGAGGAGCGAAAGCGUGGGGAGCGAACAGGAUUAGAUACCCUGGUAGUCCACGCCGUAAACGUUGGGCGCUAGGUGUGGGUCCCUUCCACGGGGUCUGUGCCGCAGCUAACGCAUUAAGCGCCCCGCCUGGGGAGUACGGCCGCAAGGCUAAAACUCAAAGGAAUUGACGG